This is a non-coding RNA of Hydra vulgaris (swiftwater hydra), 539 nucleotides long. The record is from RefSeq and is a predicted model, not a curated record. Lineage: Eukaryota; Metazoa; Cnidaria; Hydrozoa; Anthoathecata; Hydridae.
AGUCAUCCGAACUUGAUUUUUUAUAUUUUGCUUCCUGAUCUAAAGAGAAGAAAAUCGUGGCUUUAUGCUUUAUAUAGAAUUGAUUCAUCUUGCAAAAACAAACUUUGGUCGCAAAACAUGUCUAAGUAUGCUCAAAACAUUUUGUAUCUGAAUAUUAUGUACAAAAAAGUCAUUGCAAUAAAUCUCAAGUUAUUAAAGUCAGUGAACAAAUAAGUACUGACAAUUCUUUGACUGGAGUGGAAGAUGUUAGUGUCUUGAACCAACAUGAAACAACAAGUGAACUUAGCUGAGAAUGAUGGUAGUUUAAAAAUAAUGCAGCAUUGGCUAGGAUUGUUCUUAGGUCACAAAAACAAUCUUACAAAGUAAGUUUCUUCUUUAUUAUUUAUUUAGUUAUAUUUUUAAUUAAAUUUUUAUUUUUCAUGUUAACAUGAUACAUAAGACAUUAAUUUGUAAAUGCUUUCAGCAUAAAUUGGUUCCAUUUUCUUUAGUAGAGUUUCUGCUGUUGUCACUGGUUUUAGAGAGUACCUUCGUGAAUGAAG